GCGGGGAUAGCUCAGUGCGAGAGCGUUAGACUGAUGAUCACGUGUUCGAUCCAUGUUCACCGCA
Molecule: transfer RNA, 64 nt
Filed under: Ipomoea nil (Japanese morning glory)
Lineage: Eukaryota; Viridiplantae; Streptophyta; Magnoliopsida; Solanales; Convolvulaceae
Rfam family: tRNA
About the family: Transfer RNA (tRNA) molecules are approximately 80 nucleotides in length. Their secondary structure includes four short double-helical elements and three loops (D, anti-codon, and T loops).
Source: Rfam by way of RNAcentral